Molecule: unclassified non-coding RNA, 225 nt
Filed under: Hevea brasiliensis (rubber tree)
Lineage: Eukaryota; Viridiplantae; Streptophyta; Magnoliopsida; Malpighiales; Euphorbiaceae
Source: RNAcentral
AAAAUGAACUAGCUGCUUUUUUUUCAAAAGAAACAGUGAUUACACGAUAAAAUUACUCUAAACCCUUCCCACGUAUUGGCCGGCAACAAAGAUCCAGCAAUUCAUCUUAUAUACAGCCAAGGGGUUGCUUAGCGCAAACAUUUGAUCAUCUGGUGUAAACAGGGCAAACAGGCCCCUCAUCAGCUAUAUCGAAUGCGUAAAUUGAUUUUGCUAGUUACCUCUUGU